GGGGUUGUGGCUCAGUGGUAGAGUACUUGCUUAGCAAGUAUGAGGCACUGGGUUCAAUCCUCAGCCCCA
RNAcentral lists this transfer RNA (69 nucleotides) under Marmota monax (woodchuck). It matches the Rfam family "tRNA". Rfam says of the family: Transfer RNA (tRNA) molecules are approximately 80 nucleotides in length. Lineage: Eukaryota; Metazoa; Chordata; Mammalia; Rodentia; Sciuridae. The record is from Rfam by way of RNAcentral.